AACAUUUGUGGAAAAACGCUAUAGAUCUUCCAUUGGAAUCGCAUUCCAUCCGUCGUUAAAAUCACCGGGCUGACCUUCAUCCUUUAAUGGCUUUCAUUGGUUAGGCGAGACGUUACUCCACUCGUACUUCCCUAUCGAAUAGAAAAAUACAAAAUUGAAGAUACAAAUCUCUUGAGUCCAAAAGUACAAAUCAUCAUAUUAAACAAGCCAAAAUUGUUGAUGAAAAAUGUUUGAAUUUGUUGAACAGCACUAUGAAUGAAUAUAUUUACGUAGCCUAUAAAAAGUUUCAGGAAAAAAAAAACAUGCACACACACAUUCACACUAAAAUAAUGCAGCAAAUCCACCCCCUUUCACCAUUUGCUUAAACUCUGCAAAAUUCAUCAUACCAUCACCAUCUACAUCAACCUUUAUGAUCAUAUUCAUAAAUCCUUUGCAGUUCUCCCUUGCUUAAGCACAACUGAAGCCAAGAUCGAUUUCAGUCCAUCAACGGUGAUAAACCCAUCUCCAUUUCAUCAAAUACAUUGACUGCAUCUUGCAUAAAAAAAAUACUUGCAAAAAAAAUAAAAAUUCAAUGAUUUUAACAAAAAAUAUUACUUGGAACGACGAAGGCAGUGAAAGUGACAUGAGAAAAAAAUUGGAAAAAAAAAAUUUAAUUACCUCUAUUUGUUUUCUUCAUGUCAACGGACUGAGCAAAUCACCCUUGCAGGGCCUUUAAUUUCGGAUCAAUUUUGAUUUGGGGUUAGGGUUCAUGCGAUUUGGGAAUCAAAGAUUUG
This 773-nucleotide long non-coding RNA is filed under the name Olea europaea (common olive). RNAcentral's name for it is "long non-coding RNA (OEUR_LNC002816)". The record is from RNAcentral. Lineage: Eukaryota; Viridiplantae; Streptophyta; Magnoliopsida; Lamiales; Oleaceae.